This 425-nucleotide ribosomal RNA is filed under the name uncultured bacterium. RNAcentral's name for it is "bacterial SSU rRNA". It matches the Rfam family "Bacterial small subunit ribosomal RNA", at positions 354 to 796 of the family's 1533-position model. The record is from RNAcentral.
GUAGGGAAUCUUGCGCAAUGGGCGAAAGCCUGACGCAGCCAUACCGCGUGAAUGAUGAAGGUCUUAGGAUUGUAAAAUUCUUUCACCGGGGACGAUAAUGACGGUACCCGGAGAAGAAGCUCCGGCUAACUUCGUGCCAGCAGCCGCGGUAAUACGAAGGGGGCUAGCGUUGCUCGGAAUUACUGGGCGUAAAGGGCGCGUAGGCGGACAGCUUAGUCAGAGGUGAAAGCCCAGGGCUCAACCUUGGAAUUGCCUUUGAUACUGGCUGUCUUGAGUUUGGGAGAGGUGAGUGGAACUCCGAGUGUAGAGGCGAAAUUCGUAGAUAUUCGGAAGAACACCAGUGGCGAAGGCGACUCACUGGCCCAAUACUGACGCUGAGGCGCGAAAGCGUGGGGAGCAAACAGGAUUAGAAACCCUGGUAGUCC